This 75-nucleotide transfer RNA is filed under the name Caudoviricetes sp. Its description in RNAcentral is "tRNA-Gln". It matches the Rfam family "tRNA". Rfam says of the family: Transfer RNA (tRNA) molecules are approximately 80 nucleotides in length. Their secondary structure includes four short double-helical elements and three loops (D, anti-codon, and T loops). Lineage: Duplodnaviria; Heunggongvirae; Uroviricota; Caudoviricetes. The record is from RNAcentral.
UGCCUCGUCGUCAAGCGGUAAAGACAAAGGACUUUGACUCCUUCAUCGGUGGUUCGAUUCCACCCGGGGCAGCCA